GAAAGUGAUGCUAAUACCGAAUGACAUCUUGAAAACAUAUGUUUUCAAGAUCAAAGGUGGCCUCUACAUGUAAGCUAUUGUUUGGGGAUGAGCCCGCGUACCAUUAGCUUGUUGGUAGGGUAAUGGCCUACCAAGGCUACGAUGGUUAGCUGGUCUGAGAGGAUGAUCAGCCACACUGGAACUGACACACGGUCCAGACUCCUACGGGAGGCAGCAGUGAGGAAUUUUGCGCAAUGGGGGAAACCCUGACGCAGCAACGCCGCGUGAGUGAUGAAGGCUUUCGGGUCGUAAAGCUCUGCCAAGUGGGAAGAAACCAUAUGGUGUUAAUAUCAUCAUAUGCUGACGGUACCACUGAAGGAAGCACCGGCUAACUCCGUGCCAGCAGCCGCGGUAAUACGGGGGGUGUGAGCGUUAUUCGGAAUUACUGGGCGUAAAGAGCGCGUAGGCGGUCUUUUAAGUCAGGUGUGAAAGCCCGGGGCUCAACCCCGGAAGUGCACUUGAAACUAAAAGACUUGAGUAUGGGA
Molecule: ribosomal RNA, 524 nt
Filed under: uncultured bacterium
Lineage: Bacteria
Description: bacterial SSU rRNA
Rfam family: Bacterial small subunit ribosomal RNA
Source: RNAcentral